This 18-nucleotide small nuclear RNA is filed under the name Arabidopsis thaliana (thale cress). RNAcentral's name for it is "snRNA_07824". The record is from RNAcentral. Lineage: Eukaryota; Viridiplantae; Streptophyta; Magnoliopsida; Brassicales; Brassicaceae.
GCGGAUGGGGGCCGGCGA